Molecule: ribosomal RNA, 1201 nt
Filed under: Escherichia coli
Lineage: Bacteria; Pseudomonadati; Pseudomonadota; Gammaproteobacteria; Enterobacterales; Enterobacteriaceae
Description: partial 23S ribosomal RNA
Rfam family: Bacterial large subunit ribosomal RNA
Source: RNAcentral
UAGGUGAAGCGACUUGCUCGUGGAGCUGAAAUCAGUCGAAGAUACCAGCUGGCUGCAACUGUUUAUUAAAAACACAGCACUGUGCAAACACGAAAGUGGACGUAUACGGUGUGACGCCUGCCCGGUGCCGGAAGGUUAAUUGAUGGGGUCAGCGCAAGCGAAGCUCUUGAUCGAAGCCCCGGUAAACGGCGGCCGUAACUAUAACGGUCCUAAGGUAGCGAAAUUCCUUGUCGGGUAAGUUCCGACCUGCACGAAUGGCGUAAUGAUGGCCAGGCUGUCUCCACCCGAGACUCAGUGAAAUUGAACUCGCUGUGAAGAUGCAGUGUACCCGCGGCAAGACGGAAAGACCCCGUGAACCUUUACUAUAGCUUGACACUGAACAUUGAGCCUUGAUGUGUAGGAUAGGUGGGAGGCUUAGAAGUGUGGACGCCAGUCUGCAUGGAGCCGACCUUGAAAUACCACCCUUUAAUGUUUGAUGUUCUAACGUUGACCCGUAAUCCGGGUUGCGGACAGUGUCUGGUGGGUAGUUUGACUGGGGCGGUCUCCUCCUAAAGAGUAACGGAGGAGCACGAAGGUUGGCUAAUCCUGGUCGGACAUCAGGAGGUUAGUGCAAUGGCAUAAGCCAGCUUGACUGCGAGCGUGACGGCGCGAGCAGGUGCGAAAGCAGGUCAUAGUGAUCCGGUGGUUCUGAAUGGAAGGGCCAUCGCUCAACGGAUAAAAGGUACUCCGGGGAUAACAGGCUGAUACCGCCCAAGAGUUCAUAUCGACGGCGGUGUUUGGCACCUCGAUGUCGGCUCAUCACAUCCUGGGGCUGAAGUAGGUCCCAAGGGUAUGGCUGUUCGCCAUUUAAAGUGGUACGCGAGCUGGGUUUAGAACGUCGUGAGACAGUUCGGUCCCUAUCUGCCGUGGGCGCUGGAGAAUUGAGGGGGGCUGCUCCUAGUACGAGAGGACCGGAGUGGACGCAUCACUGGUGUUCGGGUUGUCAUGCCAAUGGCACUGCCCGGUAGCUAAAUGCGGAAGAGAUAAGUGCUGAAAGCAUCUAAGCACGAAACUUGCCCCGAGAUGAGUUCUCCCUGACUCCUUGAGAGUCCUGAAGGAACGUUGAAGACGACGACGUUGAUAGGCCGGGUGUGUAAGCGCAGCGAUGCGUUGAGCUAACCGGUACUAAUGAACCGUGAGGCUUAACCUUACAACGCCGAAG